Molecule: ribosomal RNA, 520 nt
Filed under: uncultured Glomus
Lineage: Eukaryota; Fungi; Glomeromycota; Glomeromycetes; Glomerales; Glomeraceae
Description: SSU rRNA
Rfam family: Eukaryotic small subunit ribosomal RNA
Source: RNAcentral
AGCAGCCGCGGUAAUUCCAGCUCCAAUAGCGUAUAUUAAAGUUGUUGCAGUUAAAAAGCUCGUAGUUGAAUUUCGGGGUUAGUAGGUUGGUCAUGCCUCUGGUAUGUACUGGUCUCACUGAUUCCUCCUUCCUGAUGAGCCGUAAUGCCAUUAAUUUGGUGUUGCGGGGAAUUUGGACUGUUACUUUGAAAAAAUUAGAGUGUUUAAAGCAAGCUAACGCUUGAAUACAUUAGCAUGGAAUAAUGAAAUAGGACGUUCGAUCCUAUUUUGUUGGUUUCUAGGAUUGACGUAAUGAUUAAUAGGGAUAGUUGGGGGCAUUAGUAUUCAAUUGUCAGAGGUGAAAUUCUUGGAUUUAUUGAAGACUAACUACUGCGAAAGCAUUUGCCAAGGAUGUUUUCAUUAAUCAAGAACGAAAGUUAGGGGAUCGAAGACGAUCAGAUACCGUCGUAGUCUUAACCAUAAACUAUGCCGACUAGGGAUCCGAUGAUGUUAAUUUUUAAUGACUCAUUCGGCGCCUUAA